GAUCCUAUCUAAGAUAUAGGUAUUUUAUAAAUAUGAGUAGUUUUAUUUUAUUGAUAUUGAUUUAGAUUUUGAUUCCUUCUUUCAAGAAUGUUUUACAGUUUUCACAGUACAUGUUUCAUACUUAUUACAUUUCUGCCUAAGUAUUUUAUGUAUGUAUGUAUGUAUGUAUGUAUGUAUGUAUGUAUGUAUUUACUUAUUUUUGAUACAAGGUCUUGUUAUACUGUCUAGGUAACCUGGAAUUCACAAUCCUCCUGCCUUGGUCUUUUGCACAUAGGGAUGGAAGGCACAAGAUAUUCCGGCUUAUAUUUUACUUUUUUUUAAUUAAAAAUUUAUUUAUUAUGUGUGUGUACACAGACACACAUCACAGUGUACUUACGGAUGUCAGAGGACAACUUUUAGAAUUUGAUUCUCUUUGACUAUGUGGGCCCUGAAGAUUUAACCCGGGUCAUCAGAUAAAGCAGAGGAAGUGCCUUUAUCUGCUGAGCCAUUUCAGCAGCCCUUCACUCUUUUGGAAGUGGUGUCUCCUUAUUCUACUUUGGUUUUGGUCAUUUCUGGUAUGUAAAAAUACAAAAUAUUUUAUGUUGAUCAACUUUUUAUAUCGUAUAAUUAAACAGUUUUAAAAAUGAAUCCUUAUAUUCUAAAGGUAAGAUUCUGCUCCCUGUGAAUAAUGCUCCUUCCUCAGUUCUGAAUUGUAGGACAGCAGUUUCCUUUCUCCUCACUACUCUGCUGUCACGGCUCAGCUCUUACAACAGACAUUUAUACCAAGCUCAGUGGCACAGGUCACCUGAGUGACUGAGACAGGAUGGUCAUAGAUCUUAGGUAUUUAUGAAUCGCACAACAAGCCUUGUUGAAAGGCGGAGAGAGAGGAGAGGAGAGGGGGAGAGAAAGAAGAGAGAUUGGUUGAGGUUUGUUUUCCACCGUUCUAGAAGCCGAGACUGCAAUCAGGACUCAGCAUGGCGAGGCAGUGCUAAGGGUUCGUUCUGGCUCAGAGAAGGCCGCCUUCUUCCUCUGCCUUUGUGAGGUAUCCAAUGUGUCCUUGUGUUGAAAUGGCCACUAAUCCCAUCAAGGAGCUCAGCGUUCAUGAUCUCAUCAGACCCUCAUCACUUCCCAGUGCACUGGGCAGGACUGUCCACAUUGCACUCUCAUGGUUCUGGACGCACUCCAGCUUGACACCUGAAGUCCUCAAGGGAGCUGCUGAGAGGCCUAACGUCAACUCAUCUCAGCCGACUCAUGCACCGGAACUCUGAAGCCAAGCUUUGGUGUCAUAAAUAAUCGGUUAGAGGUGUAAUGGUUCACAGAAGAACUACAGGACCUCUUGCCGUGGGCUCCUCUAUUUAGAAAGACCCAUGGAAAUGGUCCCAGUUGCAGCCGGACCGGGAAAGAAAGAGUGCUCUAAUGCUCACCCCUCUCUUCCCUGGGCUUCCCCGCCACCCUGCUGAUCUGCUGUACUGGGAACCAAGUGAAGGACUGCACAGGUCAGUAAAUGGGUAUACAGAGAAUCAAGAGCAUAGACUUAAGGCGAAGUCCAAUAAAAUAUAUCAGGUAAACACUUUCAUUUAAGGUAAUUAAGACUUUCAAAGAUAUUCCUACACUUCUUUGACUAGCUAUUUUAUUUUUAGGUUACAAAUUCUUAGUUAUUAAAUCAUUAACUAAUUAUAAGCAAAUGUCAUUAUAAAAGCUAAGUUUUAAGAUAAAGUGCAUACAUUGAAUCUGAAAGGUGCCUUUGAAUAAAUAAGUUAAAUUAAAAUUAAAAGAUUAGUGUUAUAAUGGUAUGAUUUUUUAAAAAUAAAAAUGUGUAGAAGCAGACUGUUUUUCAGUAAAAUAACAAUGUGUUCCUGGCCAAUCUAGUUCUAAAAAGCAACUGUGAACUUGAGUAGCAAUUUAGUAUUGGUUUCCUUUACAAAUAUUUCCAUAACGAAGCAAAGCUGAACAAGAAAACAGUUAAGAGCUCCAAGACUGUCUGGAAUUUCUAGGUUUAUUCUGAUGAAGAAAAUGAGCUUCUUUUUUUUUUGACUUUAAAAUUUUAUUCAUAACCAGUGACAUAAAAGAUUUAUUUUCCACACUUAGAAAGCACAGGGAUAGGGAGUUGUCUUCAGCCUGUCUCUGGCUUCUACUUUAUUCCUUGUAGCAACCUGUUUCCUGUUCUUAAUUGUCAAUGUCCCUUGAGAGCUACAGUGCCAUCCAUGCAAUGUCACAGGCAAAGCUUGGCAUCAUUUAUCAAAGAUGGAUAGCCUCAAAUGAACCAUGCAGGACCUGUUUCUAAGAAGUCUUCCUUUCAGGACUACUCUGUACAACAUAUGAGCCAUUGCCACAGUCACUAUCAAAGGAGCUGUGGGCAUAUGCAGUACUCUGAGCAUGGGUGUUUCCCCAGAAGUAACCUUGAAUGUAGUUAAAAUUUGGCAAGCCCUUUCAAACUAGUGCCUACCAUACUCCAUGUAAAUUUUAAUAUGAACCAUGGGAAGAGAGGAGAACAGAAAGGAUGGGCCUUAUCCUGGAGAAAUAAGACUUGGAAAGCUUAGAGCUUCUAAAAGUUUAAAGCUUGGUCUUGUGCUUCACUUUCCCUUUCUAACUUGGAAGUUACACAGUGGAUCUAGACAGCACUAAAGACUUUGGGAAAGGUCUUUAGUCUCUCUGGACUUAACACUCACUAACAGACAGUCUACCAUUUCUUUGGAACAGAAAUUACUGAAAUGUUACAAUUCCAAAGAAACCAAAUUGAUCUAGUCAUCCCUUUAAAAACAACAAUUUUCACUAGCGGCUUCAGUCCCUUUACAGUCCACUUGUUCUUUACUGUUUAACACUGUAACCAACAUAUCUUUUAAAAACCUUCUACAGUAAAAGAUAUUUCCACAUAAAGAUGUAAAAUAUAAAUGUUUAUGUCUUAUUUUCUCUUUGGCAACUACAGUUGCUUGAAUAGUCCUCAUUCUCCUCUAUUUAUUAGGAAAAAUAACACCCUAACAUAGGAAAACAUGUCAAAUGGGAAAAGGGAACAAUGUCAGGUACAUCCCACCUCCCACCCCUCAAUUUGGUCCCUGAGGUAGCUGUCCAUUAGUCCGUAUAAGUAUACCUGAAGUGUGUCCAUGUCACCUCCUGAGCAGCUAAACACAUAGUAGAGCUCUGUCAUUCAACCACAAAGGCCACACACCCACAUGGCUCUUUUGGGGGUAUGUGACAGUUCACUAUUAAGAGAUCCAUAUGGAGUCCUCUGUACAUUCCUCAUCGCUCGGGCAUGGCACUGUGGUUACAGAAGGCUGGUUUUCAAGUUUCAAGUUUUAAAAACUUCAAGACCCUCCAGCAUCAUCAGUAUCUGACUGUCUAACUUUUUUUGUAACUUCAAUUCCAUUCUCUUCCAGCUUCCUCUUUGCACAGUCCUGACAUGCAUUACCCAGUAAGGUGGUACUGUCUACUCGCUCAGCAUCUG
This 3421-nucleotide small RNA is filed under the name Rattus norvegicus (Norway rat). RNAcentral describes it as "uncharacterized LOC102549502". Lineage: Eukaryota; Metazoa; Chordata; Mammalia; Rodentia; Muridae. The record is from RNAcentral.